GUUAUAAAACAAAAUAAACCAAGAUGGCUGCGCCCUUGGAAAAGAGAUGAUGAAGUCGGUUACACAACAGAGAGCAAAACCAUGAAGAAAUAUCCUUCAGAUACACUCUUCAUCAAUCGAAUAAUUCAAAAACUUAAAGUCUCAAGUAAUAAACUAGGAGAAAAGAAAUACUGGAUCAUUUCCUUCCUUGCAGGAGCUGCAUUAGAGUUUUGCAUGGUGAAAUUAGAAGUAAACGGACAUAGUUAUUAUAAAACUUACACAAAGAGAGAGGCUUUGAAAGAAGCUCAGAAACGAUACAUAGAAGAACUAGGGCAAAAACGAGUGGCUGAAUUACUAAAAACUACCCCCAAAGAGGAUCUGGAAUCAGUGAUCUGAGAUAUGGGAAUGCUUGCUGAAUAUUUUACAAAGUACAGAGUUACAGUACUUGCCAAGUCCUUCUUCUGGAUGUUUGUAGGGAAUCAGUGUGUCCACAUGUACUACCAACCUCUUAAACAUUUUGAAGAUGAGGUUCAAAAACAGCUUGAGAUAAUAAGACAGCAGGCUGAGGAAGAAGAAAAAGCAAGUGCCAGCUCUGAACAGACAUCUUGAUUGUGUGGUGGUGAUACACCUGUAGUGCUAACCACUCCCUGAGAUACAGACUAGUUUUGAUAAUUUAUAUUUUGCAUGUUUUGUGUGAAAGUGCAUGGGUUUUGUCACCAAUUUGAAAUAAAUGGAGCAUGUAUUUAA
This is a long non-coding RNA of Saccostrea cuccullata (small rock oyster), 726 nucleotides long. RefSeq lists it as uncharacterized. The transcript is spliced from 4 exons. NCBI's taxonomy places the organism in Eukaryota, Metazoa, Mollusca, Bivalvia, Ostreida, Ostreidae. The record is from RefSeq and is a predicted model, not a curated record.